This is a non-coding RNA of Naganishia cerealis, 81 nucleotides long. The record is from the annotation of a GenBank genome assembly. Lineage: Eukaryota; Fungi; Basidiomycota; Tremellomycetes; Filobasidiales; Filobasidiaceae.
UCUUUCGUGGUGUAAUGGUAACAUUGGCGCUUGUCAUUCAACGAGCCGCGCCCGCCCCGAGUUCGAUUCUCGGCGAGAGAG